CUGUAGCGGAGUGGACCUACCUCUUCCCAUUCCGAACAGAGUCGUAAAACACUCCAGCGCCGAAGGUACUGUACCCGCGAGGUAUGGGAGAAUAGGUCGUAGCCA
Molecule: ribosomal RNA, 105 nt
Filed under: Candidatus Dojkabacteria bacterium
Lineage: Bacteria
Source: RNAcentral